Brassica rapa (field mustard) is the source of this 245-nucleotide long non-coding RNA. RefSeq lists it as uncharacterized. NCBI's taxonomy places the organism in Eukaryota, Viridiplantae, Streptophyta, Magnoliopsida, Brassicales, Brassicaceae. The record is from RefSeq and is a predicted model, not a curated record.
ACCUCAUAGGUCGAGAACCAGAUCCAAGCUCCAUUCGACGGGGCUAGCUAGGGCUCGAGGAUUCGAUUGGGGAUCGGAGAUCAAAGUCACGUGGGAGUUGCGGUCAACAAUAAAUCACGUUUUGAUGGUGGCUUGAACGUGUCACGUGAUCUCUCCACUUUUUUUUUAUUUUUAUUGUCUCAUCAGAUUUUUCCGUUGAAGAUAAAACUAACAUAAUUUAUAUUCUGUCCGUUUCUUGAAUAUUU